CACACUUUUAAAAAGUUGAACAGUAAAUACGUAUUAAAAAAAACAAAAACAAAUGUGAGGCAUUUAUUCUCCCUGAACAAAAGUACUUGAUUUUUAUAGACUUUUCUUUUCUUUUUCUAGGUUUCGUGUGACGAAGUGUGAAAAACCCCCCAGGGAUCGACGCACUCUGAUAAUCACAGACUCUAAUGGGAGCGUCCCAUCAACCCCCACACAGGUGGAGCCCCACAGCCAAGCAACACUGGAACUAAAACAGGAGAUGAAAGAGAACCGGGACAAAGAGAAGCGAUAGAACUUCAGGGAGAACACAAACAUCUGGACACCCCCAUAAAGCCAGGCGAGAGCGUCCGAGACGAGCAGAUCAGGAGUGGACGCUUUACAGAGAACCAAACAUGAUGUUAAUGAGGAGGAGUAGAACCGAUCCAGAAUGAUGGAAAUACUUUCCUCCGCAGCAUCACGGCAUCCGGGGUCUUGAACCAGAGCACAAAGUUCUCCAUGAUGUGUACAUAUGUUUAUAAGGUUUUAUAGGAGGAUAUUUGAAAGAGAUUUUUAUCUAUAAUGUCGUGUUUUGCACGUCUUUAUUUAUAUGAGGAAUCUCCAGGCGUGUGAGAUGAAGGACGGCGUUCUCGGACAAAAACUAAGCAGCCAGGAAACGGACUCAAAGCCUCUGAAGAUGAAGAUGGAACCAAGUUUAUUCAGACAGGCAGAAGAAACUCAUCAUCUGGUAGUUUCUGUCGUUCUUCAAGCCCAUCAUUGUGUGUCUUAAGGUUUUUUUUUAAAGUUUGACUUCAAUAAAGUAUACCAACAAA
This is a long non-coding RNA of Oryzias melastigma (Indian medaka), 806 nucleotides long. RefSeq lists it as uncharacterized. The transcript has 3 exons. NCBI's taxonomy places the organism in Eukaryota, Metazoa, Chordata, Actinopteri, Beloniformes, Adrianichthyidae. The record is from RefSeq and is a predicted model, not a curated record.